Molecule: unclassified non-coding RNA, 412 nt
Filed under: Hevea brasiliensis (rubber tree)
Lineage: Eukaryota; Viridiplantae; Streptophyta; Magnoliopsida; Malpighiales; Euphorbiaceae
Source: RNAcentral
GAGAGGAAAAGAAAUGGAGCUGAAAAUGAGUGGAAAUGCAGUGAAGACGUUCGCCAGAUCCAUAACGUGCCUUGCACGCAUUGGCAAUGAGGUCGCCAUUCAAGCGUCUUCUACCCAGCUCACGUUUCACACUCUUAACUCCUCAAGGUCGGCCUAUCAAUCAAUUACAUUCAAACCUGAUUAUUUUGAUGUCUUCACUGUUUCUGCUCCACAGGUGCAAUGCAGUGUGCUCUUGAAGGCUAUUUGUUCUGUAUUAAGAACACCAAUUGCCAGUAUAGAUCAUUUGACUGUCUCAUUGCCUAAUCCUGAUGCAUCAAAGGUGCAGUGGACACUCAACUGCCAUAAUGGUAUGAGGAAAGCUUAUUGGAUUACUUGCAAUGUUGAACCUGACAUACAACACUUAUCCCUUGAU